Molecule: ribosomal RNA, 348 nt
Filed under: uncultured Helicobacter sp.
Lineage: Bacteria; Pseudomonadati; Campylobacterota; Epsilonproteobacteria; Campylobacterales; Helicobacteraceae
Description: bacterial SSU rRNA
Rfam family: Bacterial small subunit ribosomal RNA
Source: RNAcentral
GACGGGUAUCCGGCCUGAGAGGGUGAACGGACACACUGGAACUGAGACACGGUCCAGACUCCUACGGGAGGCAGCAGUAGGGAAUAUUGCUCAAUGGGGGAAACCCUGAAGCAGCAACGCCGCGUGGAGGAUGAAGGUUUUAGGAUUGUAAACUCCUUUUGUUAGAGAAGAUUAUGACGGUAUCUAACGAAUAAGCACCGGCUAACUCCGUGCCAGCAGCCGCGGUAAUACGAAGGGUGCAAGCGUUACUCGGAAUCACUGGGCGUAAAGAGUGCGCAGGCGGGAUAGCAAGUCAGAUGUGAAAUGCUAUGGCUUAACCAUAGAACUGCAUUUGAAACUGUUAUUCUA